This 460-nucleotide ribosomal RNA is filed under the name uncultured bacterium. RNAcentral's name for it is "partial 16S ribosomal RNA". It matches the Rfam family "Bacterial small subunit ribosomal RNA", at positions 338 to 795 of the family's 1533-position model. The record is from RNAcentral.
CCUACGGGUGGCAGCAGUGAGGAAUAUUGGUCAAUGGACGCAAGUCUGAACCAGCCAUGCCGCGUGCAGGAAGACGGCUCUAUGAGUUGUAAACUUCUUUUGUACGAGGGUAAACGCAGAUACGCGUAUCUGUCUGAAAGUAUCGUACGAAUAAGGAUCGGCUAACUCCGGUCCAGCCGCCGCGGUAAUACGGAGGGUUCAAGCGGUAUCCGGAUUUUUUGGGUUUAAAGGGUGCGUAGGCGGUCGUAUAAGUUAGAGGUGAAAUCCCGAGGCGCAAAUUCGGAAUUGCCUCUGAUACUGUUCGGCUAGAGAGUAGUUGCGGUAGGCGGAAUGUAUGGUGUAGCGGUGAAAUGCUUAGAGAUCAUACAGAACACCGAUUGCGAAGGCAGCUUACCAAGCUACUUCUGACGUUGAGGCACGAAAGCGUGGGGAGCAAACAGGAUUAGAUACCCGGGUAGUC